UCCGAGUUGUCCCCGGCAGUCCCCUUAAAGUCCCCGGCAUUACCCGCUGGCAACUAAGGGCAGGGGUUGCGCUCGUUGCGGCACUUAAGCCAACACCUCACGGCACGAGCUGACGACAGCCAUGCAGCAUCUGUGUGGCACCCUCGAAGGUCACACGUUUCCGUGCGCUUGCAGCCACAUGUCAAGUCCAGGUAAGGUUCUUCGCGUUGCAUCGAAUUAAUCCACAUAAUCCACCGCUUGUGCGGGUCCCCGUCAAUUCCUUUGAGUUUUAACCUUGCGGCCGUACUCCCCAGGCGGUCAACUUCACGCGUUAGCUUCGUUACCAAGGGAUUGCUUCCCCGACAACCAGUUGACAUAGUUUAGGGCAUGGACUAC
RNAcentral lists this unclassified non-coding RNA (375 nucleotides) under uncultured bacterium. RNAcentral's name for it is "contains 16S-23S intergenic spacer region". The record is from RNAcentral.